UGCGUAGGCGGAUUAAUAAGUCAGUGGUGAAAACCUGCAGCUUAACUGUAGAACUGCCAUUGAUACUGUUAGUCUUGAGUACGGUCAAGGUAGGCGGAAUGUGUAAUGUAACGGUGAAAUGCUUAGAUAUUACACAGAACACCGAUUGCGAAGGCAGCUUACUGGACCAUUACUGACGCUGAGGCACGAAAGCGUGGGGAGCGAACAGGAUUAGAUACCCUGGUAGUCC
RNAcentral lists this ribosomal RNA (229 nucleotides) under uncultured bacterium. RNAcentral describes it as "partial 16S ribosomal RNA". It matches the Rfam family "Bacterial small subunit ribosomal RNA", at positions 568 to 796 of the family's 1533-position model. The record is from RNAcentral.